CUGUGGCUCCGUGUUAAUGGCGUUAUUAAAAUACUUCAUCAGCAGGGACGUAGCGAAGCAUCUGAAGUCGGGGGUGGGGGUGUCAGAGGAUUUUACCUGAAAAUUGAACUUCAAUGUUAAAAAUUUACCUGAAGUUUUUUACAUUUCUGAAGCUCUAUGACUGCAUUUCUGGCGUUUUCUAAAGCGAAUUCUCAAACGAAUUGCAUGUAAAUUGACUGUGUU
Molecule: non-coding RNA, 222 nt
Organism: Paramuricea clavata
Lineage: Eukaryota; Metazoa; Cnidaria; Anthozoa; Malacalcyonacea; Plexauridae
Source: the annotation of a GenBank genome assembly